UACGUAGGAGGCAAGCGUUAUCCGGAAUUAUUGGGCGUAAAGCGUCCGCAGGUGGCUAUUCAAGUCUGCGGUCAAAGACUGGGGCUUAACCCUGGAAAGGCCGUGGAAACUGAAGAGCUAGAGUGCAGUAGGGGUAGAGGGAAUUCCCGGUGUAGCGGUGAAAUGCGUAGAGCUCGGGAAGAACAUCGGUGGCGAAAGCGCUCUGCUGGACUGCAACUGACACUCAGGGACGAAAGCUAGGGGAGCGAAUGGG
RNAcentral lists this ribosomal RNA (253 nucleotides) under uncultured bacterium. RNAcentral's name for it is "partial 16S ribosomal RNA". It matches the Rfam family "Bacterial small subunit ribosomal RNA", at positions 524 to 776 of the family's 1533-position model. The record is from RNAcentral.